GGGGCCUUAGCUCAGCUGGGAGAGCGCCUGCUUUGCACGCAGGAGGUCAGCGGGUCGAUCCCGCUAGGCUCCACCA
RNAcentral lists this transfer RNA (76 nucleotides) under Listeria monocytogenes. Its description in RNAcentral is "tRNA-Ala". It matches the Rfam family "tRNA". From Rfam's summary of the family: Transfer RNA (tRNA) molecules are approximately 80 nucleotides in length. Their secondary structure includes four short double-helical elements and three loops (D, anti-codon, and T loops). Further hydrogen bonds mediate the characteristic L-shaped molecular structure. tRNAs have two regions of fundamental functional importance: the anti-codon, which is responsible for specific mRNA codon recognition, and the 3' end, to which the tRNAs corresponding amino acid is attached (by aminoacyl-tRNA synthetases). tRNAs cope with the degeneracy of the genetic code in two manners: having more than one tRNA (with a specific anti-codon) for a particular amino acid; and 'wobble' base-pairing, i.e. permitting non-standard base-pairing at the 3rd anti-codon position. The record is from RNAcentral. Lineage: Bacteria; Bacillati; Bacillota; Bacilli; Caryophanales; Listeriaceae.